This 497-nucleotide ribosomal RNA is filed under the name uncultured bacterium. RNAcentral's name for it is "partial 16S ribosomal RNA". It matches the Rfam family "Bacterial small subunit ribosomal RNA", at positions 28 to 507 of the family's 1533-position model. The record is from RNAcentral.
GAUGAACGCUGGCGGCGUGCCUAAUACAUGCAAGUCGAACGCAUAGCGAAAGGUGCUUGCACCUUUCAAGUGAGUGGCGAACGGGUGAGUAACACAUGGACAACCUGCCUCAAGGCUGGGGAUAACAUUUGGAAACAGAUGCUAAUACCGAAUAAAACUUAGUGUCGCAUGACACAAAGUUAAAAGGCGCUUCGGCGUCACCUAGAGAUGGAUCCGCGGUGCAUUAGUUAGUUGGUGGGGUAAAGGCCUACCAAGACAAUGAUGCAUAGCCGAGUUGAGAGACUGAUCGGCCACAUUGGGACUGAGACACGGCCCAAACUCCUACGGGAGGCUGCAGUAGGGAAUCUUCCACAAUGGGCGAAAGCCUGAUGGAGCAACGCCGCGUGUGUGAUGAAGGCUUUCGGGUCGUAAAGCACUGUUGUAUGGGAAGAACAGCUAGAAUAGGAAAUGAUUUUAGUUUGACGGUACCAUACCAGAAAGGGACGGCUAAAUACGUG